Molecule: unclassified non-coding RNA, 2573 nt
Filed under: Leishmania donovani
Lineage: Eukaryota; Euglenozoa; Kinetoplastea; Trypanosomatida; Trypanosomatidae
Description: gene:LdHU3.15.0320(CDS-product:hypothetical_prote in_conserved)
Source: RNAcentral
AAUGCGCCGUGCUCUUUGGCUUUCUUCUGUGCGGCUCCCUUGAAAAGGGAAUAGGGCUGUUUCAGUGGCACGAGCGUGCGCGAGCGCAAUCGCUUCACAUGGCCAGCUCGCACUCAAAGCUUUCAAGCUGAAAAUUUGCCGUUUUACGUAUUUUUUUUUGUAUUAGGCCUUCAAGAUGGCUACAGAACUACAGCUUGUAGUGGAGGCCAACAGCGAGCUGUUGGCGCACGCAAAGGUGGCGAAUCCACGUGGAUGCUCCAUUCACGUCGACAAGCACAUUCAGAAGCCAGUCCUUAUCAUGAAAGGAACGCCUUCUCAAACCCGCGUGCAAGUUCCGCGCGAGGACCGCCCUCUCUCUUCGUUACGAUUACACAACUCUCUUUUGGCGGCUCAAAUCUGCCUCAACUCCACGGAUCAUUUCGCUGUUGAGAUAGUCGUGAGCCAGUAUACAGUGAAGCGGACAAAACUGAUAAUUGGCACCAAUGUUGCAGCUGCUCGAUACGACAAGACGGAUGAUGAGCUGACGACUGCCUAUCUUCCCCUUAUCAUUCCACGCAACAAGUGGGUACAGGUGGUGUUUCAUGUUGCUGGCAUCGUGCAUACUGUGUUCAAUCUCCCAUGUAUAACCUGCAUUGACGCAAUUACUCUCACUGGAACUGGAAAGAUAUCGUGUGUGUUCACGAGCAGUGACGAGCAGUCGUGCAUUGCCGCAACGCCGGAGGGCAUGGCCCUUUUUGCAGUUCCGGCGUAUGUUCCACCGAUCUGGAAGACGGCCGCCGCGACACCUGAGCAUCUGUCGUCUCUGCUAAAUAUCGACUCCAGGUCUGACAUACCCUUGACAAGCGACGUGUCCUUUGGCACGGCAGCUGCUCCCUGCGCUGAGUCACCGUCCUCGCCGGCUUCGCCUCUUUCGACGCACUCCGUAAUCCUGCCGCGGCUGAAGCUUCUGAAAGAGACAGCCGUGCCGCCGUCCUAUCCUCACGUUUCCUCGAGCGCCUCAGAACAGGUUGGGGCAGCUUUAGGAAAGGGGUCGUACAGCGCGCCUUCCCAAUGCGAUUAUAUUCGCCUCGUGGACAACGAGGACAUAGUGGCCAAAGAUGAGCAUAGCACCAUAUCAUGCUCGAACGGAGAUGGUCAUCGGCAGCAGGCCUCACAAGAUACCGUCGCGGGCAGGUCUUGCGGUGCAGCGCGAGGGGCAGCGAACAGCACUGCAUGUGGCCUCAGCGGCUGGGAGCAGUUUCCUGAGGAACGUGUCGGUACACUCGUCGUUGUUUCACCAGCACGCUUGGUUAAGGUAGACGCAGCCAAGCGGCCGCCACGAAAACCCAGAGUCGUUCCUGGUCCCCCAGGAUCAAGUGACAACGAAAGAUUGCAACGCAUCAUCGCGUCCCGCAAGCAUCGGGUGAUGCCGAGGCAGGGAUCCCUUAACAGCGGUGGCGACGAUGGGCGGAGCAACAUCUCGCGACGGCAGCAGCGUCUUCGACGUCGCAUGCGUGUCUUACGGGCAAAUGAGCAGAAGGCCAACAAGACAGCAGCAGCCAAGGCGCUCGUUGCAUCGGAGCUUCCACUAUCCCAGCGAGUUGCGGCUGUGGAGGAUUCAACAGAAGCAGCUCCGAUUUGCGGAUACGGUUUCGGAUAUCUCGGUGUGCUCAAGCCAAAUGGCGAGUACGAGGAGGACGAUGACGCUAACCUCAACUUGGAGGGCGCACUCACGUUGUUGACAGACAAUGAGUGAAAUCUUUCUGUGGGCGGUGGAGUGCAUGGGCACAUCCGAAAUGAUGCAAAGACAGACCACACGUUAUCAUUUCCAGAGUGUGAUGGCCUGUGUAGAAAUGGCGCGUUGCACCACACGGACACUAAGGGACUCUUCUUGUCUCCAUCCAUUGCUUACUGCUUUCCUUUCUUCUUUGUAUUUCCCUCUUUUCCUUUAACUCUACUUCUCAUCUUCUCUCUGUGGUUCGUUUCCCAUGUUUUGAUUAUUUUACUGCGUCUCUGUGUGCCUUUCCCGUUUAUAGAGCAUUUUUGCCUUCAUGGUGAAGCGUGCACACGCGCGCGCAGAAAGGCGCGCGAACAUACUGCACUUUUCCUUCCCGUGUCCUGUCAUCAGCUUUCCGCCUUUGAUCUUUUUAUUCGGCUCACUCCCAUGUUCAAGGAUGCUGUGUGAUGUAUCACUCCCGUGGGGAGACUGUAUCGAGACGAGACGAACAACGCGACCACCGCAUUUGGCAGAGAAAAGCAACCUACUGUAUGUGUGUGUGUCGCCGCUCCUGCGUUGUCUUCGAUACCCCCGCCUUUUUUUCUUCUCCGUUCACCCUCAUUCCGCCACUUGCUUGUGUGUUCUUCUCUUCGUAUGUGUGUGUCGCGUGCCUCUCUACCAACUCCCUCCCCUUCUUUUGCAUUGUAAAUUCUUCACAUACACACGCACGAGGAGACACGACGCACCCUCCCUCCACCUUUUACAGGCGGAGGGGACGGAAAAAACACAAUCAAAAACACGCAGACAAACCGAACAAUAACAAAAAAAAAACAACACAGGGAACAGUUGGCCCGCUCAGCUCGUGCAACGUGGCGCG